RNAcentral lists this long non-coding RNA (291 nucleotides) under Nicotiana benthamiana. RNAcentral describes it as "long non-coding RNA (NBEN_LNC003875)". The record is from RNAcentral. Lineage: Eukaryota; Viridiplantae; Streptophyta; Magnoliopsida; Solanales; Solanaceae.
UCCAAAGCAAUGCGUACACGAAGGGGGUAGAACCUAAUCUCUAAGAGUAGUGAGAGUGUGUGAUAUAGUUUUAAAGAAAUUGAGUUGCUAGAAAUAGUUUAAAAAUGAUCCAUAUAGAAUCAGUUAUUGAAAGAAAAUAGUAGAAGAGUGUGACAAUUUUGUAAGAAGGUGAGUAGAACAAUCGCAGAACUAGAAUAUCACACAUAGUUCAGGAAAGCAAACACAAACUGGGGAAAGGGGAAAUGGGACAAGUAGUUCACAAGUAAGAGCAUAGUUGGACAUACGUAGACA